AUGCAAGUCGAGCGGAAAGGCCCCUUCGGGGGUACUCGAGCGGCGAACGGGUGAGUAACACGUGAGCAACCUGCCCCUGACUCUGGGAUAAGCCCGGGAAACUGGGUCUAAUACCGGAUAUAACCACUGGUCUCAUGAUCGGGUGGUGGAAAGUUUUUCGGUUGGGGAUGGGCUCGCGGCCUAUCAGCUUGUUGGUGGGGUGAUGGCCUACCAAGGCGACGACGGGUAACCGGCCUGAGAGGGCGACCGGUCACACUGGGACUGAGACACGGCCCAGACUCCUACGGGAGGCAGCAGUGGGGAAUAUUGCGCAAUGGGCGGAAGCCUGACGCAGCGACGCCGCGUGAGGGAUGACGGCCUUCGGGUUGUAAACCUCUUUCAGCAGGGACGAAGCUAACGUGACGGUACCUGCAGAAGAAGCGCCGGCUAACUACGUGCCAGCAGCCGCGGUAAUACGUAGGGCGCAAGCGUUGUCCGGAAUUAUUGGGCGUAAAGAGCUCGUAGGCGGUUUGUCGCGUCUGUCGUGAAAGCCCACGGCUUAACCGUGGGUCUGCGGUGGAUACGGGCAGACUAGAGGCAGGUAGGGGAGAAUGGAAUUCCCGGUGUAGCGGUGAAAUGCGCAGAUAUCGGGAGGAACACCGGUGGCGAAGGCGGUUCUCUGGGCCUGUACUGACGCUGAGGAGCGAAAGCGUGGGGAGCGAACAGGAUUAGAUACCCUGGUAGUCCACGCCGUAAACGUUGGGCGCUAGGUGUGGGGUCCUUCCACGGAUUCCGCGCCGCAGCUAACGCAUUAAGCGCCCCGCCU
RNAcentral lists this ribosomal RNA (805 nucleotides) under Actinomadura sp. RNAcentral's name for it is "bacterial SSU rRNA". It matches the Rfam family "Bacterial small subunit ribosomal RNA", at positions 55 to 874 of the family's 1533-position model. Lineage: Bacteria; Bacillati; Actinomycetota; Actinomycetes; Streptosporangiales; Thermomonosporaceae. The record is from RNAcentral.